RNAcentral lists this ribosomal RNA (253 nucleotides) under uncultured bacterium. RNAcentral's name for it is "partial 16S ribosomal RNA". It matches the Rfam family "Bacterial small subunit ribosomal RNA", at positions 524 to 776 of the family's 1533-position model. The record is from RNAcentral.
UACGUAGGGUGCGAGCGUUAAUCGGAAUUACUGGGCGUAAAGCGUGCGUAGGUGGUUCGUUGUGUCUGUGGUGAAAGCCCCGGGCUUAACCUGGGAAUGGCCAUGGAAACUGGCGAGCUGGAGUCUGGCAGAGGGGGGUGGAAUUCCGCGUGUAGCAGUGAAAUGCGUAGAGAUGCGGAGGAACACCGAUGGCGAAGGCAGCCCCCUGGGCUAAGACUGACGCUGAGGCACGAAAGCGUGGGGAGCAAAACGG